RNAcentral lists this ribosomal RNA (427 nucleotides) under uncultured bacterium. RNAcentral's name for it is "bacterial SSU rRNA". It matches the Rfam family "Bacterial small subunit ribosomal RNA", at positions 28 to 441 of the family's 1533-position model. The record is from RNAcentral.
AAUGAACGCUGGCGGCGUGCUUAACACAUGCAAGUCGAACGAGGCGGAGGGGGCAACCCCUCCAGUCGAGUGGCGGACGGGUGAGUAACACGUGGGUAACCUGCCCGGAAGUGGGGAACACCUCGGGGAAACUCGAGCUAAUACCGCAUGACAUCUUCGGGACGAAAGUCCUGACGAUCAAAGCGGGGCCGCAAGGCCUCGCGCUUCCGGAUGGGCCCGCGCCCGAUUAGCUAGUUGGCGAGGUAACGGCUCACCAAGGCUUCGAUCGGUAACCGGCCUGAGAGGGCGAUCGGUCACACCGGAACUGAGACACGGUCCGGACUCCUACGGGAGGCAGCAGUGGGGAAUCUUGCGCAAUGGGCGAAAGCCUGACGCAGCAACGCCGCGUGGAGGAUGAAGGCCCUUGGGUUGUAAACUCCUGUCGGCU